UGUGUAGGUAUAUAAAUUACUACUUACAAAAUGAAAAUACUGCAAAUAUGUUAAAUAUAAAUAAUAAAUUAUAUACAUUUGUAAAAAUUCUAACCGAUACGCGCAGAUGAUACUCAAAAACAAUUGUUGUACAGUUAAGUUCAAACUUCUUAUAGGUACCUUUGUUGAAUACAUUUUAACCCGUGUAAUUUUAACAUUCGAAUUUUUGUCUUCUAUUUUUAAAAUCCAUCCUUAUCUUAGCACUGUUUAAUUGCUCAGAUGUUUUUUUUUUUUGGAAUUCGUGUAAGUAUUAGAAUUUAUACAAGGCUCGUUCAUAUCAUUAAAUUGUAUGUUCAUUUAAGAUUGUAAUUCAAUUAUAAGUUUGGCUUUUAGACCAGAAAAUGUACCAUAUAAAGUGAAUAAAUAUCGUUAAAUUAAAAGUCAUUUAGAUAUUUUAUUAUGAAUGCAAAUUACUAAAACCAUUUUUGAAAUCAAAAAAUUCCUAGCUCAAUAUAUUUUACUAUGCUAUUUUUACAACUUGGUAACUGUGAGCGCAUUUUACAAAUCUCAUUAUGACGGCGAUGUUUUAUAUUUAUUUUCACAGGUCAAAAAUUAGUGCCAAUGGAAUUUAGGUACAGAUUUUUUGGAUAAAAAAAAUGUACUGACGCAAGACACAACGUAUAAAAAUAAUCUGCAAAAUUUUAAUUUAAAAACCGCCUAUUUCGGGUGAUUUCAGACCUCCUUUACCAAUACCGAACCUCCUUAAUCCAAAAUGUUUGAAUUCUACUCUGUGGGAACAACGAAGCAAGUGCUUUGUCACAUUGCCAGCACUGUUUGCACCCUGCAAAAAAACUCAGGGAUCGCGUCCACCAAUUUGUCCGGGCAAUUAGCGAGCGGCCCACCGACAUCAAUAACACCUGUUCUAAUGUUCACGAUCCGUAGACAUUAAUGAGUAGUCUUGUACAUUUACUGAUUUUGUUUUAUUUCAUUUAAAUCCACUGCAGUGAUCGCGGUGUACAGAGAAACUAGUACAAAGUAGCUGUGCAACUAUGAGGUACAUUUGAAAAAAUACAAAUCGAAGUUCAAUUCUAGGUGCAUAAAAAAAAAUUAUUUUUCCACGAUAAAUGAAAACACAGAAGAAAAUGCUGUUGAAGAUGAUCAGUGAUUUUUUUCAAAAAGUAAUACAGUAGAACCUUGAUUAUUUGACUAAUUGGGACCAUACCGAGUUUGGAUAAGCAAAAGUUUGGAUAAUAGAAAUUAAAAAAAAAUUUAUUUGUACAAUGCAUAUUUUAGAAUUAUUGUUAAAUAUUAUUUCUAUCAACCUACACUUUGUAUUUACUACACAUUACCUAUUGGGUUGUUUCUUACUAUUUAUUGCAAAGUCUAUUAUUAUUAUUAUAAUCAGAAUAUAUAUUAAUAAACGUUUUAGAGUUAUUUUACAGUACAGUACAUAUGGGCAGAUAUUCUUUGAAGAUAUUGGGGGUGGAGAUACAAUUCUUUACAUCAUUUAUAAAAUCAUUCAAAAUACACUAGACAAUUAAGUAUUAACACAUCAAUAAUUAAUUGAUAUCUUUUAUUAUUUUGUUAUAUCGUGUGUGUAAUUUUAUUUGUGUCCUAAUUAUCAU
Long non-coding RNA from Aphis gossypii (cotton aphid), 1604 nucleotides. RefSeq lists it as uncharacterized. The transcript has 3 exons. NCBI's taxonomy places the organism in Eukaryota, Metazoa, Arthropoda, Insecta, Hemiptera, Aphididae. The record is from RefSeq and is a predicted model, not a curated record.